RNAcentral lists this ribosomal RNA (1316 nucleotides) under metagenome. Its description in RNAcentral is "bacterial LSU rRNA". It matches the Rfam family "Bacterial large subunit ribosomal RNA", at positions 1616 to 2910 of the family's 2925-position model. The record is from RNAcentral.
AGCCUCUAGCGAGCUGACAUGGUACCCGUACCCCAAACCAACACAGGUGGGCAGGUAGAGAAUACCAAGGCGAUCGGGAGAACUGUGGUUAAGGAACUCGGCAAAAUGCCUCCGUAACUUCGGGAGAAGGAGGACCCCAUUAGGGUGAAGGACUUCGCGUCCGGAGCUCGAAGGGGUGGCACAGACCAGGGGAAAGCGACUGUUUACUAAAAACACAGCAGCGUGCCAAGUCGCAAGACGAUGUAUACGCUGUGACGCCUGCCCAAUGCCGGAAGGUUAAAGGGAAAGGCUAGUCCGCAAGGGCGAAGCUUUGAACUGAAGCCCCGGUGAAUGGCGGCCGUAACUAUAACGGUCCUAAGGUAGCGAAAUUCCUUGUCGGGUAAGUUCCGACCUGCACGAAUGGCGUAACGACUUUCCUACUGUCUCAACCACAGACCCGGCGAAAUUGAAGUACGAGUAAAGAUGCUCGUUAGCUACAGAAGGACGGAAAGACCCCGUGGACCUUUACUAUAGCCUGAUGUUGAGUUUUGUUAUGUGUUGUGUAGGAUAGGUGGGAGACUUGGAAGCAUUGGCGCCAGCCAGUGUGGAGUCAACCUUGAAAUACCACCCUGCUCAUGACGGAGCUCUAACCCACGUCCCUUAUCGGGAUGGGGAACAGCGUCAGGUGGGUAGUUUGACUGGGGCGGUCGCCUCCUAAAGAGUAACGGAGGCGCCCAAAGGUUCCCUCAGGCUGGUUGGCAAUCAGCCGUCGAGUGCAAUGGCACAAGGGAGCUUGACUGCGAGACCUACAAGUCAAGCAGGUGCGAAAGCAGGGCAUAGUGAUCCGGCGGUUGCGUGUGGAAGCGCCGUCGCUCAACGGAUAGAAGGUACCCCGGGGAUAACAGGCUCAUCUUCCCCAAGAGUCCAUAUCGACGGGAAGGUUUGGCACCUCGAUGUCGGCUCAUCGCAUCCUGGGGCUGAAGCAGGUCCCAAGGGUUGGGCUGUUCGCCCAUUAAAGCGGUACGCGAGCUGGGUUUAGAACGUCGUGAGACAGUUCGGUCCCUAUCCUCUGUAGCCGGAAGGAACUUGAGAAAGGCUGUCCCUAGUACGAGAGGACCGGGAUGGACGCAGCUCUGGUGUGCCAGUUGUCCCGCCAAGGGCAUCGCUGGUUAGCUACCUGCGGAAGGGAUAAGCGCUGAAAGCAUCUAAGUGCGAAGCCUGUUUCUAGAUGAGGUUCCUCACUGGGUUAACUAGGUAAGGCCCGUGGAAGACCACCACGUUGAUAGGCCGGAGGUGUAAGCGUGGUAACACGUUCAGCCGACCGGUACUAAUCGGCC